CAGCGGAUAAUGAGGAAAAGAGGCCGCCUGUGCUUGCACAGAGCGGCCUCUUGACGAUUUAAGCCGCGCCCCUCAUGAGGAUGCAGCAGGGGCAGGGGCUCCGCGGAAUCCGAAUGAGGGCAGCACAGCGGGAGUGCGCAGCACGAAGCUGUGCGUGG
RNAcentral lists this small RNA (158 nucleotides) under bovine gut metagenome. Its description in RNAcentral is "Clostridiales-1 RNA". It matches the Rfam family "Clostridiales-1 RNA". The record is from RNAcentral.